GCAGCCUCCUGAGUAGCUGGGAUUACAGGCACCUGCCAUCACACCCGGCUAAUUUUUGUAUUUUUAGUAGAGAUGGGGUUUCACCAUGUUGGUGAUGUAGUCUAUAAAUAGUAUAUAUAUGUUAAUAUCAUAUCCCUACUACUACGUUAAAAGCAGGUAAAAAACAGAGAAUGACCUUCCUUAAUACAUCUUUAAUAUCUUAUAAUUUAAAAGUCCAAGUCAAAAGACAUCAUCAAAUGACAACUAGUGUUUUACCAAAGAAUAUUUAAUCAUCUAAUUUAUCUUUUCCCAAUGAUAUAAAGAAAUAGAAAAGAGAUUAAGAACCUAUUGAAUGUUGAAUGAUCUUUGCAACAUAAGAGUAAGAAUGACUUCUUUUCAGUAUUUCCUACGUGUCUGACAUGGAGCUAAGUGUUUUAUGUCCAUUACCUUGUUUAAUCCCUCAAUGACUCAACAAAAUGGCGG
RNAcentral lists this long non-coding RNA (462 nucleotides) under Homo sapiens (human). Its description in RNAcentral is "HSALNT0071376". The record is from RNAcentral. Lineage: Eukaryota; Metazoa; Chordata; Mammalia; Primates; Hominidae.